This 66-nucleotide transfer RNA is filed under the name Neopanorpa pulchra. RNAcentral's name for it is "tRNA-Tyr". It matches the Rfam family "tRNA". Rfam says of the family: Transfer RNA (tRNA) molecules are approximately 80 nucleotides in length. Their secondary structure includes four short double-helical elements and three loops (D, anti-codon, and T loops). Further hydrogen bonds mediate the characteristic L-shaped molecular structure. tRNAs have two regions of fundamental functional importance: the anti-codon, which is responsible for specific mRNA codon recognition, and the 3' end, to which the tRNAs corresponding amino acid is attached (by aminoacyl-tRNA synthetases). tRNAs cope with the degeneracy of the genetic code in two manners: having more than one tRNA (with a specific anti-codon) for a particular amino acid; and 'wobble' base-pairing, i.e. permitting non-standard base-pairing at the 3rd anti-codon position. The record is from RNAcentral. Lineage: Eukaryota; Metazoa; Arthropoda; Insecta; Mecoptera; Panorpidae.
GAUAGAAUGGCUGAAAAUAGGCAUUAGAUUGUAAAUCUAAUUAUGAAAAUUUCUUUUCUUCUAUCA